GGAAGGCCCAGUCCUUGCCCAAAAGACUGUGUGGUCUGAGAAGACAGAUGACACACAAAGGGCAGGAGAAAGAAAGAUACUCCAGCACAGGCAAUUCUGAAACCCAUCUCUGCAUGAUAAGGAGCACCUAGAAACCCCAGCCAGGAUCAGGGCUACAUUAUGCUGAGCCCUGCACACUCUCAGGAGGACACGGCCCUUCCCUGAAGAACUUACAGUUUAAUAGAAGACAAUGCAUUUACAACACAACAGCUCCAAGCACAAUGAAGGGAAGGAAGCAACUGUAUGUAUUGCAGCUAGACACUGCUUCAAAGGAACAUCUUCAUAGCUGCAGCCCUGUGACCUGAAGGAGCUGAGAGCAGCCAGGGCUUGCUGCAAUUGCCAUAGGACAUUUGUUUUCCCUUUGAAGGAGAACAGGUGUAAAAUAAAAUAAAGG
Molecule: long non-coding RNA, 433 nt
Organism: Mauremys mutica (yellowpond turtle)
Lineage: Eukaryota; Metazoa; Chordata; Testudines; Geoemydidae
Exons: 3
Source: RefSeq, a predicted model, not a curated record